CCUACGGGAGGCAGCAGUGGGGGAUAUUGCACAAUGGGGGAAACCCUGAUGCAGCGACGCCGCGUGUGGGAAGACGGUCUUCUGGAUUGUAAACCACUGUCCCCAGGGACGAAAAUGACGGUACCUGGGGAGGAAGCUCCGGCUAACUACGUGCCAGCAGCCGCGGUAAUACGUAGGGAGCAAGCGUUGUCCGGAAUUACUGGGUGUAAAGGGAGCGUAGGCGGGGACGCAAGUUGGGGGUAAAAACUAGCGGCUCAACCGAUAGUAGCACCAGAAACUGCAGCUCGUGAGUGAAGUAGAGGGGGGGGGAAUUCAAGGUGUAGGGGGGAAAUGAGGAGAUAUGAGGAGGAA
Molecule: ribosomal RNA, 351 nt
Filed under: uncultured bacterium
Lineage: Bacteria
Description: partial 16S ribosomal RNA
Rfam family: Bacterial small subunit ribosomal RNA
Source: RNAcentral